This 253-nucleotide ribosomal RNA is filed under the name uncultured bacterium. RNAcentral's name for it is "partial 16S ribosomal RNA". It matches the Rfam family "Bacterial small subunit ribosomal RNA", at positions 524 to 776 of the family's 1533-position model. The record is from RNAcentral.
UACGGAGGGUGCAAGCGUUAUCCGGAUUCACUGGGUUUAAAGGGUGCGUAGGAGGGCAGGUAAGUCAGUGGUGAAAUCUCCAAGCUUAACUUGGAAACUGCCGUUGAUACUAUCUGUCUUGAAUAUUGUGGAGGUGAGCGGAAUAUGUCAUGUAGCGGUGAAAUGCUUAGAUAUGACAUAGAACACCAAUUGCGAAGGCAGCUCGCUACACAUAUAUUGACUCUGAGGCACGAAAGCGUGGGGAUCGAACAGG